RNAcentral lists this long non-coding RNA (436 nucleotides) under Homo sapiens (human). RNAcentral describes it as "HSALNT0074719". Lineage: Eukaryota; Metazoa; Chordata; Mammalia; Primates; Hominidae. The record is from RNAcentral.
UGGUAUCAAAUUCUCCCCAAUUAAAUCUAAAGAAUUUUCAAGUUUUUGUUUUGUAUUAGUUUAAGUAUUUCCUAAGGAAGCUUUAAGUAUAACCACCUGAUUUGGAUUGUAAGGAAAAGGAAAAGGAAUAGAAAUCUACAAAAAAAAAAAAAAAAAAAAAAAAAAAAAGUAAAUUGUGAAUGAAACUGUGAACACUCUCUCUUGCUUUUUCUCAUUUAUUCAUACAUUCACUCAUCCUUCCACCCAUCUAUCCAUCCAUCCCUACAAUAUUUACUGAGCAAUUAUUCUAUAUCUAGGGUUUAGGGAUAGCAGUAAAUGACACUUAGAGAGCUCACCUUCUAUUUGGUGGAGAUUAGAAUCUAGUGGGUUCAAUAUAAUAUUUUCUUUCAAGAGGUAUGGUUGUUCUUCUUAAUUUAUCUAACUUAAAGCCCAGGAA